AUUAGUGGAAAUGACAGACAACAUAGCCAACUGCAAGUAGGUUGUUAUUAGCAAUGGUCAUUUGCCAGAAACUGUCUGCUCCCAGCUGACACCUUACUUAGGUUUUUGCUGUUAAAUGAGGAUCUUGUGUAGGCAACAGAAGAAAACAUUGAGCUCAGCGCUGCUUUGCUUGGAGCCAGUUGGAACAUUGUAAUAGAAAACAAUGCAGUCAAACUAAGGCUAGCUUGUGUUGCAUCUACUUAGGACACAUAAAACAAAUAACGUAAUUUCUUUGAAAAGAUUAACUGUAUUCAGAAUACCACCAAUUUAAACUGUUUACUGUUACUGAAUACAGUUACUCAUAUUUUGUAUUUUAAUUACAUAACUAAUUAAGGGGCUUGUAUUUUAAUUACAUAACUAAGCUACCAUUACUUCCUUACAGAAGUGUAUGGCAUUCACUUGACAAAUAAAAAAAGCCCUGUUUUUCUGAGUAAUUCUUUCCCUGUUUUUUUGGGUAAUUUGUUUUCUGUUUUUCAGGGUAUUUCUUUGUUUUUUUGUGGUAAUUUUUUUGUGGUAUUUUUUUUUCCUGAACAAGGAGACGAGAUACUUCAAAAUCUCACGAGAAGAUCCCACCUGGCACCUGCAAGUGAAACGUGUAUGGGCAUGAUUUCAGUUGUCAGUAACAUUAAGUUUUUUUCCAUCAUGCUGGACAUUGUUACUCAUCACAAAUUUGUCAGCUAACGUUUUUACAACCUGUUACUAACCUAACCUGUUACAUUGAUCGAUAGGCCUACACUAGAAGGAUGCAGUUGAAAACAUAGCUAGAUUAUCAUACCCUGUGUGUAACUAAUUACGUGCCUUACCCUUAUUGAUCCCGUAGUUGAAACUGUCUAGGAGCAGGAGCACAGAUGCAAAAUACAUCCAUGAGCAGGAGUCACCAUGGAUGCAGGGGUCACUUGCAGGUGCCAGGUGGGAGCUUCUCGCGAGAUUUUGAAGUAUCUCGUCUCCUCGUUCAGGAAAAAAAAAUUACCUCAAUAAACAGAAAAAAAAUACCCAAAAAAAAAACAGAAAAAACUUACCACAAAAACAGGAUAAAAAUUACUCAGAAAAACAGAAGAAAUUACACCAAAAAACAGAAAAAUAAAAAAAUUACUCUAAAAAACAGGGCUUUUUUUAUUUGUCAAGUGAAUGCAAUACACUUCCGUACUUCCUCACGCUGCCAAUAUUUGACAAGUAAAAAGGCAAAGUCAAACAAAGAAAAUUUUAUUUAUUUCUAUACACCAAAAUCACAAAUUAGCCUCAGAGGGCUUUGCAUAUAUACACACACCAUAGGCCACCUCAGAGCAUCCCUGAAUGCAAUAACUGAGAAAUAUUAAAAUCAGCUGAAAAUAAAUGCAAGUCAUAUAUGCUCCUAUCAGUCUAUCAGGAAAUCUUUCCCACAAAACAAACAGGUACUGACAGACAGCUUGUAGGUACAUUAAGGCUUUACUUAAAGAGCAAGUCCCAUCAGUAGUAUUAAAGAGCAAUACUAAUGUCAGCCUCUUUGAACCAGAUUAUGUGUGAAUGUCACUGUAUAUAUUAACAGAACCUUAUACUAUGAGGUUAUUAUUAUUAUUAUAUUACAAUUCAAUUUUAUUCUACACAGUGGUAGCGAAGAGAAAAGCCUUCACCAUUCAGUUUAUACAUUUGCAGGUAAAUCUUGAAGCUGUUCAAACCACUAGCUGAGCCGCCAUGUAGCCUGAAGAAUGACGUAAGGACUGCAUUUUACCACACCAGCUCAGACAACGAGCCAAGAUGUGUGUGUGUGCUUGUAGUAAUAUGAGGGCUGUGGUUUCUGGUGGUCAUGUCCACAGGCUGUGAUAAACUGAUGAUACAUGAACGAGCGCUUGAUGUAGCUACAGGUUAAAACAAAAA
This is a long non-coding RNA of Epinephelus moara (kelp grouper), 1893 nucleotides long. RefSeq lists it as uncharacterized. The record is from RefSeq and is a predicted model, not a curated record. Lineage: Eukaryota; Metazoa; Chordata; Actinopteri; Perciformes; Serranidae. The transcript has 2 exons.